Molecule: ribosomal RNA, 910 nt
Filed under: Macgarvieomyces luzulae
Lineage: Eukaryota; Fungi; Ascomycota; Sordariomycetes; Magnaporthales; Pyriculariaceae
Description: partial 28S ribosomal RNA
Rfam family: Eukaryotic large subunit ribosomal RNA
Source: RNAcentral
GCAUAUCAAUAAGCGGAGGAAAAGAAACCAACAGGGAUUGCCUCAGUAACGGCGAGUGAAGCGGCAACAGCUCAAAUUUGAAAUCUGGCCCUAGGCCCGAGUUGUAAUUUGCAGAGGAUGCUUUUGGUGAGGUCCCUACCGAGUCCCCUGGAAUGGGGCGCCACAGAGGGUGAGAGCCCCGUAUGGUUGGACACCGAACCUUUGUAAAGCUCCUUCGACGAGUCGAGUAGUUUGGGAAUGCUGCUCUAAACGGGAGGUAAAUUUCUUCUAAAGCUAAAUAUUGGCCAGAGACCGAUAGCGCACAAGUAGAGUGAUCGAAAGAUGAAAAGCACUUUGAAAAGAGGGUUAAAAAGUACGUGAAAUUGUUGAAAGGGAAGCGCUUGUGACCAGACUUGUGCCGGGCGGAUCAUCCAGCGUUCUCGCUGGUGCACUCCGUCCGGCUCAGGCCAGCAUCGGUUUUCACCGGGGGACAAAGGCUUCGGGAACGUGGCUCCCUUCGGGGAGUGUUAUAGCCCGUUGCGUAAUACCCCGGCGAGGACCGACGACCGCGCUUCGGCAAGGAUGCUGGCGUAAUGGUCAUCAGCGACCCGUCUUGAAACACGGACCGAGGAGUCAAGCAUUAGUGCGAGUGUUUGGGUGUAAAACCCGCACGCGUAAUGAAAGUAAACGUAGGUGAGAGCUUCGGCGCAUCAUCGACCGAUCCUGAUGUUUUCGGAUGGAUUUGAGUAGGAGCAUUAACGCUUGGACCCGAAAGAUGGUGAACUAUACUUGAAUAGGGUGAAGCCAGAGGAAACUCUGGUGGAGGCUCGCAGCGGUUCUGACGUGCAAAUCGAUCGUCAAAUUUGAGUAUAGGGGCGAAAGACUAAUCGAACCAUCUAGUAGCUGGUUUCAGCCGAAGUUCCCCUCAGGA